GGUGAUGUAGCUCAGAGGUCAGAGCAGUACAUUUAGAUGUGCGGUCAGCGGUUCGAAUCCGCUCAUCACUUCUA
Molecule: transfer RNA, 74 nt
Filed under: Caudoviricetes sp.
Lineage: Duplodnaviria; Heunggongvirae; Uroviricota; Caudoviricetes
Description: tRNA-OTHER
Rfam family: tRNA
About the family: Transfer RNA (tRNA) molecules are approximately 80 nucleotides in length.
Source: RNAcentral